GGCAGUUACUGUUUAACCACCACAGCCCCAUUAUGACUGGAUCCGUUUCAUGCCUACAGGCAUAAGUUCUCCGAUAGUAAAGGAGAGAGCGAUAGAUGGCGCUUAACCAAGGACGAAGAGAGAGGAACAGUCUUAUUCCAGGACAUUUAGUUACAGAAGUUUGCCUGUGCUGAAACGCUUGGGAGCACAAUGAUUACCCAGGUGACAACUAUAAACUUAUUCUCUCCGUUGGCAGCCUCCGUCUCCACCCCAGCCUCUGACAGAGUGUAAACACAACAAGACAAAGUAUUAUCAUAUUACAUUGGUGCCAGGAUGGACUGAUUGGUGUUCGUUAGUGGACCUUAAUGCCAGGAUUCUUUCUUGGAAGGGCUGUGUGUUGUAGAAUGGCUCAAUGUUCGAUAAUCACAGGGUGUUCUAGAAUAUCUGACUGUUCUAGAAUGUCUGGGUGUUCUUUCUAGAAUGUCUGGUGUUCUUUCUAGAAUGUCUGGGUGUUCUUCCUAGAAUGUCUGGGUGUUCUUUCUAGUAUGUCUGGGUGUUCUUUCUAGUAUGUCUGGGUGUUCUUUCUAGUAUGUCUGGGUGUUCUUUCUAGUAUGUCUGGGUGUUCUUUCUAGAAUGUCUGGGUGUUCUUUCUAGAAUAUCUGGGUGUUCUAGAAUGUCUGAAUUUUCUAGAAUGUUUGGGUGUUCUAUCUAGAAUGUCUGGGUGUUCUAGAAUGUCUGAAUCUUCUAGGAUGUCUGGGUGUUCAAUCUAGAAUAUCAGUGUGUUCUAGAAUGUCUGAAUCUUCCUGGAAUGUUUUCAUUGUCUAGAAUGGUUGGAAAUUCUGGAACAGCACUAUUUUGUAACAGUGAUGUGGAUCAACUCCCUGUCUCCCUGUAACUGCUCCCUAUAGCAAAAAUUUGAAUACAUCAGUUAGUUGUUGAGUUUUGUUGAGAUUACAUAAAUACAUUAACUUCUAAUGCUGGACAAGACCAUGAUGUUGAGAGAGUUAUCACACAAACAUCUUCAAACACCAACAACUCUGUUGACGUAACCAUGAUGUAAUUAUAUUAGAUAACAGCCUUUAGAAAGACUUUGACAUUAAACCAAGAGUUACUUAACUGAAACAGCAGUCUUUGGACAACAUUCAAUAACAAGCUGUUGUGAAUAUUUGUUUAUUUGCCAUCUUUCUGAUUGGGGUCAAAAAUUUGCUCAUUUAAACAUUUCAAAAUCUUUCAUCGGACAGAUGCUUUAGACAACUUUACUUAAUUAAUGAAUGAAUCCUGCCAACUAUAGAACUGUCAACCAAUGAACCGCCACUAAUUAGAUGCUGAUUAAAACAGUUUGGACAGAGUCAUGAUGGAUAUGGUAGAUAUAUGCAACAUCCAUUCCAUGGGCCUCUAAACUUCAGUGUGUGUUUGU
Molecule: non-coding RNA, 1396 nt
Organism: Salmo salar (Atlantic salmon)
Lineage: Eukaryota; Metazoa; Chordata; Actinopteri; Salmoniformes; Salmonidae
Source: RefSeq, a predicted model, not a curated record